CAAGCCCCACCUGCAGAGUCAAGUCCCUCCUCCCACCUCAGCACUGCUAGAAAAGAGCUUCAGGAUGGAGCCACACAUGCCACUCAAGCCCAAGGGUCAGUCAACAGCCCACAGCCCUAAACUCAUCUGUGUCCAAUGCCAGACCCAGCAACUGCUGAUUUACAUGAAUCAACUCCAUCAUGCAAGCCUCAUGACAUCCCAAUGAGACGCAGGUGCUUUUGCAGUCACGUGACUGGACGUGGGCUAGGACUCUGUUGUCCGUGGCUGGAGUCCAUAGCUGAGAACAAAGAAGGAAAAACUUCAGGAGGACACUCCCAGCCCACAGCACGGCACAUCAAAGAUCCCAGAUGCCACCUACGUGACAGGCAGAAACGCUCGCGAGCUUUGCUUGCUCAGCCAGUUUUUCUGCUCCUCAAGUCUGGACGAAAGCAGCAAGAAAGAGAGAAAGGACUUGGUAGAAGCCAAAGAGAAAGGACUUUGCCUUCUGCCUAUUGG
RNAcentral lists this long non-coding RNA (495 nucleotides) under Pan troglodytes (chimpanzee). RNAcentral's name for it is "long non-coding RNA NONPTRT015786". Lineage: Eukaryota; Metazoa; Chordata; Mammalia; Primates; Hominidae. The record is from RNAcentral.